UACGUAGGGGGCAAGCGUUGUCCGGAUUUAUUGGGCGUAAAGAGCGUGUAGGCGGCCAGAUAGGUCAGCUGUGAAAACUCGAGGCUCAACCUCGAGACGUCGGUUGAAACCAUCUGACUAGAGUCCGGAAGAGGAGAGUGGAAUUCCCGGUGUAGCGGUGAAAUGCGCAGAUAUCGGGAAGAACACCCGUGGCGAAGGCGGCUCUCUGGGACGGUACUGACGCUGAGACGCGAAAGCGUGGGGAGCGAACAGG
RNAcentral lists this ribosomal RNA (253 nucleotides) under uncultured bacterium. Its description in RNAcentral is "partial 16S ribosomal RNA". It matches the Rfam family "Bacterial small subunit ribosomal RNA", at positions 524 to 776 of the family's 1533-position model. The record is from RNAcentral.